Long non-coding RNA from Loxodonta africana (African savanna elephant), 924 nucleotides. RefSeq lists it as uncharacterized. The transcript is spliced from 3 exons. The record is from RefSeq and is a predicted model, not a curated record. NCBI's taxonomy places the organism in Eukaryota, Metazoa, Chordata, Mammalia, Proboscidea, Elephantidae.
UUGGCUGAAAUGUGAACUUCAGGAGUGGCUUCAGUUUUGAGUUGGUAGGGUGUCCGGGAGCCAUAGACCAAGUUCCUCUAGUCUCUGUCAGACCGGUGAUUUAGGACCCCAUGAACAAAAAGGUGAGAUAAUUAAAAGAAUUUCAAGAAACAUCCUUUGUAAGUCCUGACUUUGAAAUAUUUUGUAAUCCUAAGAAGUUUGGACUUCAUCCCGAGGGCAAAGAAAUGACAUAAUCAGCUGCAAUGAGAAGAAUGGCAUGAAGUUGGGCAACACUGGAGCCAGUGACACAAAUUAGGUAAGUAGGUGAGAGAGAAUAAUGACCUAAACUAAAGGCAGUGGGAAUGGAAAGAAGUAGAUGAUUUGAGAGAAAUUUGGAGUAAAAUAAAUAGAACUCAGUGAUUGCCUAGAUAUGGGGGACUGGUGAAUGAAUGGCAGUAGUCAAGGUUGAUAGGUUUCUGAUUUGGGCAAUAGAAUAGAUAGUGGUGCUUAUACAAAGAUUGAGAAUGUAAAAGGGAGAGCAAGUGUCAAAAAGUUCCCAAGCAGCAGUCAGCUUGUAUGUCAGUUCUUGAUACUUCCGUAGAUUCAGCCGAUAAGGAAACAAUGAGCCCAGAUGGAUUUAAGUAGUUUGUAACUCACGACAAAGUACACAGCACGAUCUUCAUGUUUGUAUCAGAUCCUUGUGUCCCAUGGAAGUGAUGCAGAGUGAGGCCCAGGUAGAUGCUGUGGAUACAGUGAAUUGGUGUCCUCCCAGUCUUAUAAAGGAAACCCUGGUGGCAUAGUGGUUAAGUGCUACAGCUGCUAACCAAAGGGUCGGCAUUUUUAAUCUGCCAGGUGCUCCUUGGAAACUCUAUGGGGUAGUUCUUCUCUGUCCUGUAGGGUUGCUAUGAGUCGGAAUCGACUUGACAGCAAUGGGUUAGUCUUAUA